This 497-nucleotide ribosomal RNA is filed under the name uncultured bacterium. Its description in RNAcentral is "bacterial SSU rRNA". It matches the Rfam family "Bacterial small subunit ribosomal RNA", at positions 28 to 526 of the family's 1533-position model. The record is from RNAcentral.
GACGAACGCUGGCGGCGCGCCUAACACAUGCAAGUCGAACGGGGUCCUUUUAGGAAGCUUGCUUCUUGGCUGGACCUAGUGGCGGACGGGUGAGUAACACGUGAGCAACCUGCCCUGGAGUGGGGGACAACACCUGGAAACGGGUGCUAAUACCGCAUAAUAUCCUUGGAUGGCAUCUUCCGAGGAUCAAAGGAGUCAAAUCCGCUGAAAGAUGGGCUCGCGCCCGAUUAGAUAGUUGGUGAGGUAACGGCUCACCAAGUCAACGAUCGGUAGCCGGACUGAGAGGUUGAACGGCCACAUUGGGACUGAGACACGGCCCAGACUCCUACGGGAGGCAGCAGUGGGGGAUAUUGCACAAUGGGGGAAACCCUGAUGCAGCGACGCCGCGUGAGGGAAGAAGGUUUUCGGAUUGUAAACCUCUGUCUUUGGGGAAGAGUAGAAGACGGUACCCAAGGAGGAAGCCACGGCUAGCUACGUGCCAGCCGCCGCUGUAACAC